This 425-nucleotide ribosomal RNA is filed under the name Stygobromus tenuis potomacus. RNAcentral describes it as "partial large subunit ribosomal RNA". The stretch from base 283 to 425 matches the Rfam family "Bacterial large subunit ribosomal RNA", at positions 2473 to 2617 of the family's 2925-position model. Lineage: Eukaryota; Metazoa; Arthropoda; Malacostraca; Amphipoda; Crangonyctidae. The record is from RNAcentral.
GCUAAGGUAGCAUAAUCAUUUGCUUUUUAAUUGAGGGCUGGUAUGAAUGGUUGUACAAUAAAGGUCUGUUUUCUGAUAUUAGUAUAAUUUGUAUUUUAAGUAAGAAUACUUAAGUACUAUAAGGGGACGAUAAGACCCUAAAAGCUUUAAUUUGUGUGGAUUAAUUAAUAAUAAUUUAAAUAAUGUUGGCUGGGGUAGUAGUUAUAUUAAAAUUAUAAUUAGAAUAUAUCUUGGAGAAGUAAGAUCCUUUAGAUAAGGAUAGUUAGAUUUAGUUACUUUAGGGAUAACAGCGUAAUAGUUUUGGAGAGAUCUUAUCGAUAUAAUUGUUUACGACCUCGAUGUUGAAUUAAGAUUUUUUAUAGUGCAGAAGAUAUAAUGAAGGGUUUGUUCAACCUAUAGUGUCUUACAUGAUCUGAGUUCAAACC